GAAGGGGAAGAAGAAUUUGGCUGUUGUUGCUGUUGAAGAGAAGGAAGAGGAGGAAGCGAAGGAACUUGGUAUAAUGGGUGAUGAUAGUGGUGGUUUGAGUGCUAAUAAGGCUGUUGGGCAGGAGGAGGAGGGCAAUACUGCACCUUUCCCUGAAAAGGUUCAAGUGGGAGGGUCACCUGUAUAUAAGAUAGAAAGAAAAUUGGGUAAAGGUGGAUUUGGUCAGGUGUUUGUUGGUCGUCGUGUUAAUGGUGGUACCGAACGCGCAAUGGGUCCUGGGGCCAUGGAGGUGGCUCUGAAAUUUGAGCAUAGAAACAGCAAAGGUUGUAACUAUGGCCCACCAUAUGAAUGGCAAGUAUAUAAUACUCUUGGUGGUAGUCAUGGAGUGCCAAGGGUUCAUUAUAAAGGAAGGCAAGGAGAUUAUUAUGUAAUGGUUAUGGACAUGCUAGGCCCUAGCCUUUGGGAUGUAUGGAAUUCUUCUGGGCAGGCGAUGUCCUCAGAAAUGGUAGCUUGUAUUGCUGUUGAAUCUCUAUCAAUCCUAGAGAAGAUGCAUUCCAGAGGCUAUGUGCAUGGAGAUGUAAAGCCAGAGAACUUUUUACUUGGUCAGCCAGGUACAGCACAAGAGAAGAAGUUAUUUCUUGUGGACCUUGGAUUGGCAACAAAGUGGAGAGAUAGUGGUAGUGGGC
This 683-nucleotide unclassified non-coding RNA is filed under the name Hevea brasiliensis (rubber tree). Lineage: Eukaryota; Viridiplantae; Streptophyta; Magnoliopsida; Malpighiales; Euphorbiaceae. The record is from RNAcentral.